AGAGGGAUGUGUUUAUUUAUUGAGAAGAGUCGACUUUCUGUUCUGACAAGUUCUAGUUCUUUGACUUCUUUCUGUUUGAGCUUCUGUUCGAGAACGGACAUUAGGUUGAUGUCUGACCUGUUUGCAUGCAGAUGGUUUCGUUGCAGCCAGCUGGUGAAAGGGAAGGUCAAGUUGACCUGCAGCUACUGCAAAUAGGACUUUUUUCAUCCUAAAGGGUGAAAUUGUUACAUAAAGUAUAACCUCAGUCAAAGACAUCUUGAAUUAGUAAUAAAAUUAAAAUUAUUUUUCUCAACUGGGGAAAUUCCAGGGUUUCAUUAAAAUGUUAGGUCCAAGUUUAACCCUGAUCUGAAUAAUCUGAUGUAGGAAGUUAUUAAUGUAAAAGCAGAUAAAAUGGCUUUAUGCUGGGGUUUUUGUAAAAGUCACCUGCUUGUUAAGCAUGUGAUAAGUUAGAAUUUUCUUUCUGAUCUACCUGGAACACAAAUAACCAUCUCUUUUCACAAAAUUUUGAAUACAACUUUGUCUUGUGGUUUUUUGUAGUAUUUUAAUUUGCUUGGAUUGAAAUUUUAAGUUGAACACUAGACAUAUUGUCUUCCUUUACACGUUUUUUAAACAUUUGGUUGACUGUACAAUCUGUUAAUUCAUCAUGUUGAUCUUCUACUCAAACAUCUUUAACUACUGUUCUAUCUAAAUUUAAUAUUUCGCUUUGUGCAUAUUGAAGUUUAAAUAUAUUAUCUUAUCUUUCAAAUUCAUCCAUUAACUUGUGUAAAAUUUGCCUUUAUUAUUGUAGUUUCAUAAGGCAAAAAUUAAUAAAUAUUUAAAAAUAUAGCCUUUAUUUCCAGAAAAAACAUAACAAAUUUAAUAUAAUUUCAAUUGCAAAAAUAAUUACGAUGACACACUUGACACCUACCUAAACUAAUCCAUAAAAAGUUGAACAUAUAUGUGAAAGGGAAAGUAAUAGAAAAUGGAGAGGACUGCUGCCUUACCAAUUUAAUUAGAUGCCAAGUCCCUAGAGUGAGGAUCGAAUGAGCCAGGGACGUGCUGUUGUGAGACAAGAUAGUGUAGAAAGGACUUUACAUCUUCGCCAUCAUUUGUGAUUAUUAACAUUUGCUGUUGCCUUUGCCUUACAGUAUGACACAAUGAAUAGAAACACAUUCUGAAUAACGGUAGCACCUUACCAACUUGGUGUUUUUCCUUUCAGCAAUCCACUGUUCAAGUGCUGUUGCCCGGGUGCUGAAACGUAUGGAAUCAUUUACUGAUGCCAUAGAGGAGGCACGUGAACGAAUAUCACUGCCUUCCCAGUUCCCAUCAUUGUAGAAGUUGGACUGGCGUCCAUUAUCACCUCGGGGAUUUCGUCUGUUGUGAUUCUGCGUGGUGGCUUCUUGGUGAAAUUUUACGGGGAGAAUAUUACAUGGCGUGGUGAUUGUGUCAUUUAUGGAAUGGCGGUUUGCUGUCAAAAGUUAAGCUAUCCUUUCUUCGAAAAUUACCAACAAAUUCAUA
Daphnia pulex (common water flea) is the source of this 1497-nucleotide long non-coding RNA. RefSeq lists it as uncharacterized. Lineage: Eukaryota; Metazoa; Arthropoda; Branchiopoda; Diplostraca; Daphniidae. The record is from RefSeq and is a predicted model, not a curated record. The transcript is spliced from 3 exons.